CCUUGUGGUAACUCUGCAAUGUGGAGAAACUGGCAUGAGGCACAGAUCCUUCUUAGAAGAGGAAGAAAAAGACUCUGUACUCCUGCAAAACCCGUGGCACUGCACUCUGCGCCCAUGACGAGGGCAGGGCUUUAACAGCCGCCGCUCCUCCCGGCCCUCACAGUGUCCUCAGCACCCACCCCAGCACAGCACAAAGGCCGACCAGUGCCGGGAGGUGGGAAUGAGCCAUCCUGCUUGGAAAGAGAGGCGAAGAAUCUGCGGGCAAACAAAAAGGUUUGGUCAGGUUCCCACUGCAGCU
Long non-coding RNA from Gallus gallus (chicken), 298 nucleotides. The record is from Ensembl. Lineage: Eukaryota; Metazoa; Chordata; Aves; Galliformes; Phasianidae.